RNAcentral lists this ribosomal RNA (625 nucleotides) under fungal endophyte. RNAcentral describes it as "eukaryotic LSU rRNA". The stretch from base 179 to 332 matches the Rfam family "5.8S ribosomal RNA". Lineage: Eukaryota; Fungi. The record is from RNAcentral.
UAGGUGACCUGCGGAAGGAUCAUUACGAAAUUCGGUGCGCUUCGGCGCUGCCUUAUUCACCCACCCUUUGUCUACGUGUACCUCCAUAGCUUCCUCGGCGGGCUCGCCCGCCGCCAGGAACCCACGAAACCCCUUGCAUUAUACACGAAAACUUCUGAUAACAAACCUAAAUUAUCACAACUUUCAACAAUGGAUCUCUUGGUUCUGGCAUCGAUGAAGAACGCAGCGAAAUGCGAUAAGUAGUGUGAAUUGCAGAAUUCAGUGAAUCAUCGAAUCUUUGAACGCACAUUGCGGCCAUAGGUAUUCCUUUGGCCAUGCCUGUUCGAGCGUCAUUUACACCCUCAAGCCCAGCUUGGUGUUGGGCGUCUGUCCCGCCGUUUUCGCGCGCGGACUCGCCUCAAAGUCAUUGGCGGCGGUCGUGCCGGCCCCUCGCGCAGCACAUUUGCGCUUCUCGGAGGCCCGGCGGAUCCGCGCUCCAGCAAAGACCUUUCAUGACUUGACCUCGGAUCAGGUAGGGAUACCCGCUGAACUUAAGCAUAUCAAUAAGCGGAGGAAAAGAAACCAACAGGGAUUGCCCUAGUAACGGCGAGUGAAGCGGCAACAGCUCAAAUUUGAAAUCUGGCCC